This is a long non-coding RNA of Tachysurus fulvidraco (yellow catfish), 1299 nucleotides long. RefSeq lists it as uncharacterized. The record is from RefSeq and is a predicted model, not a curated record. NCBI's taxonomy places the organism in Eukaryota, Metazoa, Chordata, Actinopteri, Siluriformes, Bagridae. The transcript has 3 exons.
CCUGUUUAACUUUGUCCUGUAGUCCACCAGACGUCCCUUCGUCCGUAUCCGACUUCCUCUAAUGUUUCGGCGUGAUGUAUUUCCCCCUCUCUACACCGCGCACUUCUGUGAUGUCCGGCGUUUUGUCUCCUGACUCUAUCUACAGAGUCCUUUCUGUUAAGUGUCUCUACGUCCUGGUUUUCACCUGAUACGAGGCACAGAGGCGCUGUUCAGGUUCCGAUUGGGUUUCUGUUGCUAAGCGACCAGCCCUAACGUUCUAACAGCGCGUGGUUUCACACUGUACACGUUCAACACCGCCGUGUGGAGUUAACACCGUAAAAGCCGAGCCAACUCUGAUUCAUAACCCCUGAGUGUUCGCUGCAUUGCCUCGUACCUGUGGCGCUCCACAAACAGGAUAAGGAGGGGAUAAAAAGCGUAGAUGUCCUGCACCAACACGGCGAACUUCUCCUGCACAGCCAACUCCAUCUCCGCCACAUCUCCACACCUCUCCGUCUUCAUACGCUCCUCCUCCUGCACCACUGACUCUGCCCUCUUCUUCAGCUUCUCCAUCAGAGGCAGGAAGUGACUCGUCAGGAGACCGGGCUCUGCCUUACGGACCAGCGGCUGGACAGACGCUGACGAAAAGAGUUUAUAAAACACCAGGAAAGAAAAUAUUUAUUCUGCUGUUGGGGUCGAGUUUAUUUUAACCUGAUAAUUUGCUUACGUCUCACUCACCUGCGAUCCGUUUCAUCCAGCUGCAUUCGUGUCUGCCCAUGUGGGUAUGGAUGAUGGUGAGGAUUUGCCCCAGUAGGGUGUUGGUGUGUGAGGGUGUGAGAGAGGAGCAGGAUGCCCCGUUCUGCCCCUCAACCCCCCGAGCAUCCUCUUCAUCCCAUCGACACACGUAGCUGCACAGCAGAGGAACAGUUACCUCCAUGACCCUGGACAGAAGGACGUGACGAGAUGCUGACUCCGCCUCCAGCAUGUCCUCCACUUCUGACAGAGCUUCCUGCAGGGAUGGGAGGGGCCUGGACAAAUCCUCUGCUACAGUGGACACGCCUACUUCUGGCAGAGGAAAUACAGUGUAUAUAUAAAAAUGUUAUUUUACAAAUUAUUUUACAAAAAGUUUUUAAAAGUUUGUUUUGAGUCAUAGUUGGAAUGGGAGUUUCACUGAAACCUGGCAACCCUUACCUUGAGCUUCAUGUAAAGCUCCACAUUAAAGUACAAACACAUGUAUGUGAGUUUUUAUUGUUUGUUCGUUUUACACCUAGGCUGAAGAUUUGGAACGAGAGAAUGAACUAAAAUAAAAAAAAUAGAAUUCUC